RNAcentral lists this ribosomal RNA (410 nucleotides) under uncultured bacterium. Its description in RNAcentral is "bacterial SSU rRNA". It matches the Rfam family "Bacterial small subunit ribosomal RNA", at positions 32 to 423 of the family's 1533-position model. The record is from RNAcentral.
AAUCAACGCUGGCGGCGUGCCUCAGACAUGCAAGUCGAACGCGAAAGUUUCCUUCGGGGAACAAGUAGAGUGGCGCACGGGUGAGUAACACGUAGGUAAUCUACCUUUGGAUGGGGAAUAACAACCGGAAACGGUUGCUAAUACCGCAUAAUGCAGCGGCACCUAAUGGUGACAGUUGUUAAAGCGGGGGAUCGAAGACCUCGCGUCUGAAGAGGAGCCUGCGGCGGAUUAGCUAGUGGUAAGGUAAUGGCUUACCAAGGCGACGAUCCGUAACCGGCCUGAGAGGGCGGUCGGUCACACUGACACUGACAUACGGGUCAGACUCCUACGGGAGGCAGCAGUCGGGAAUUUUGGGCAAUGGGCGAAAGCCUGACCCAGCAACGCCGCGUGAAGGAUGAAAUCCCUCGGGA